This 334-nucleotide ribosomal RNA is filed under the name uncultured eukaryote. Its description in RNAcentral is "partial 18S ribosomal RNA". It matches the Rfam family "Eukaryotic small subunit ribosomal RNA", at positions 1470 to 1796 of the family's 1831-position model. The record is from RNAcentral.
CCCUUAGAUGUCCGGGGCCGCACGCGCGCUACACUGAAGGAAUCAGCGUGGCUUUCUCCCUGACCCGAAAGGGUUGGGAAACCCGAUGAAUCUCCUUCGUGAUAGGGAUUGGGGCUUGAAAUUGUUCCCCAUGAACGAGGAAUUCCCAGUAAGCGCGAGUCAUAAGCUCGCGUUGAUUACGUCCCUGCCCUUUGUACACACCGCCCGUCGCUACUACCGAUUGAACGGUUUAGUGAGGGCCUCGGAUUGGUCUCGGCCCGCUCUUUACCGGGCGGCGCCGUUGGUCGAGAAGACGCUCGAACUUGAUCGUUUAGAGGAAGUAAAAGUCGUAACA